UACGUAGGGGGCUAGCGUUGUCCGGAAUCAUUGGGCGUAAAGAGCGCGUAGGCGGCCAGAUAAGUCCGGUGUGAAAGUCACAGGCUCAACCUGUGAAUGCCGCUGGAAACUGUCUGGCUAGAGUCCGGAAGGGGCGAGUGGAAUUCCUGGUGUAGCGGUGAAAUGCGCAGAUAUCAGGAGGAACACCAAUGGCGAAGGCAGCUCGCUGGGCCGAUACUGACGCUGAGGAGCGAAAGCGUGGGGAGCGAACAGG
Molecule: ribosomal RNA, 253 nt
Filed under: uncultured bacterium
Lineage: Bacteria
Description: partial 16S ribosomal RNA
Rfam family: Bacterial small subunit ribosomal RNA
Source: RNAcentral